CUCUCUUCAUAUCAAUUUCAUCAGGUCAUCAGUCCACGCUCUACCCUUCGAGAACAAACAGAAACGAUUAUCGAUAUGGCUCCAUUGACGCGUUAUCAGAAAGCCAGAAAAAAUAUCCCUAGCAGUGUUGCGUUGGUUGUUUCCCCACAUGGAAAGGCACCGCGACGACUUAAAGGAAAACGUAUCAAGACGGAGCCGUCGGGACCAUAUCCAUCACAAAAUAUCCCUAUGGCUAUUCCUGUGGCUGUUCCCCCAUGUGAAAAGGAGGAGCCGAAAGGAGACGUGGAAAGUGCAAGUUCGGCGCGAAAAAGUUGUUGUGUCGCCCACGUAAAUGGGUUUUGCGUAACCUACACCGACCAGGGCGACGUUUUUCGUGGUUGCGAAUAUUUUCGCGAACGUGAGUUACUUUUAGCUUCAAUGUAUAAAUAGUGUGGCGAUCAACCAGCGUUACAAUAGUACCACUCUUUUAGUUCCACUUUUUUCGUAAAAGGAAAAAGUGGAACUAUUGUAACGCCGCAUAUAUGCAGCGUUACAAUAGUUUCACUUUGUUAGUUCCACUUUCCUUAUACCAGUGGAACUAUGGUAACGUUGCAUAUAUGCAGCGUUACAAUAGUUCCACUUUUUCCCUUUUACGGAAAAAAGUGGAAUUAAAAGAGUGGUACUAUAGUAACGCUGGUUGGCGAUCAUUAGAUUUAACAAUUGACAAUAUUUUUAAAUAAUUUUUUUUGUAGUCAAGUCUUAGAGUAGCCAAUUUUUGUAAGCUUUUUGUCAGUAAUACCAACUUUGUACCAAUAAAGUUUUCCUGUCGUUUUCGACGUAUCAAA
Bradysia coprophila is the source of this 824-nucleotide long non-coding RNA. RefSeq lists it as uncharacterized. Lineage: Eukaryota; Metazoa; Arthropoda; Insecta; Diptera; Sciaridae. The record is from RefSeq and is a predicted model, not a curated record.